GAUGAACGCUGGCGGCGUGCCUAAUACAUGCAAGUCGAGCGAACGGACGAGAAGAUUGCUUCUCUGAUGUUAGCGGCGGACGGGUGAGUAACACGUGGAUAACCUACCUAUAAGACUGGGAUAACUUCGGGAAACCGGAGCUAAUACCGGAUAAUAUUUUGAACCGCAUGGUUCAAAAGUGAAAGACGGUCUUGCUGUCACUUAUAGAUGGAUCCGCGCUGCAUUAGCUAGUUGGUAAGGUAACGGCUUACCAAGGCAACGAUGCAUAGCCGACCUGAGAGGGUGAUCGGCCACACUGGAACUGAGACAAGGUCCAGACUCCUACGGGAGGCAGCAGUAGGGAAUCUUCCGCAAUGGGCGAAAGCCUGACGGAGCAACGCCGCGUGAGUGAUGAAGGUCUUCGGAUCGUAAAACUCUGUUAUUAGGGAAGAACAUAUGUGUAAGUAACUGUGCACAUCUUGACGGUACCUAAUCAGAAAGCCACGGCUAACUACGUG
RNAcentral lists this ribosomal RNA (497 nucleotides) under uncultured bacterium. RNAcentral's name for it is "partial 16S ribosomal RNA". It matches the Rfam family "Bacterial small subunit ribosomal RNA", at positions 28 to 507 of the family's 1533-position model. The record is from RNAcentral.